UGUUCCCUCAACAAGGCAAGCCAAUUGGGACUAAAGCUGAUGAGACCUCCCCUUCAUUUGAGCCUCUCUCAAUCAAGCAAGUCGAUACCUACCUAUCAGGAACCAGGCAAGGCUCGCUGAAACAUCUCUCUCAUUUGGGGCUCCUAAAUAGUACAACCGAAGAGUAAAGGGCUUUUGAGGACAUUCCCUUCAUUUGAGCCUCUUGAACCGGUUGACGAAACCUCCUCUUCAAGGACUAGGGAGGUCAAACCACGCCCUUCGUUUGAGCCUCUUAAACAGAUCCAACCAGAGUGUAAAGGUCUCCUGAGCUUCCUGAAUGUGUCAAACCAGAGAGUAGGAAGCAACCUCCUCUCAACUAGGUCUUUGGCUGAAUCAGCCCAACCGGAGAAUCGAAUAGCAGCAGGGCUCCAAUCGGGGUGAACAGUUUUGACAAGCGCAGCAAUGCCAGAAACAUGAGGGCAUGCCAUUGAAGUACCAGAUUGAGAAAGAUAAGGAACAAUGCGGUUAUCAUCUUCAAAAUUAGUUGCUGCCUUUCCACCACUGUAAGCAGCAAUUAUAUCCACUCCAGGUGCAAUGACAUCAGGCUAAAA
Molecule: long non-coding RNA, 590 nt
Organism: Mangifera indica (mango)
Lineage: Eukaryota; Viridiplantae; Streptophyta; Magnoliopsida; Sapindales; Anacardiaceae
Exons: 2
Source: RefSeq, a predicted model, not a curated record